This 501-nucleotide long non-coding RNA is filed under the name Homo sapiens (human). RNAcentral describes it as "HSALNT0338647". Lineage: Eukaryota; Metazoa; Chordata; Mammalia; Primates; Hominidae. The record is from RNAcentral.
GACGUCUCCACGCUGUGGGGACCCCAGGCUUGUGCAGACAUCUGUGGGAAUCCAAAGAUGGCGUGAUACGGAGAAGUCAGAAUGUGGCCAAGCAUCCUAAAUCCAUCGUCUGCGUCCCCUCUAGUGUGUUUUGUAUCAGUGUCAGGAAGAAUUAGCACUAACGUUUGGAUGUUGAUUUUAUCCACACCAGGAAGAAAAAGUAGCCAACGACGUUGUGAAGGAGAUACUAUCAUAUCCUUUAACAGCCCUGGUGAUGUUCGCUGCUCUGCACAGCACACGGUGACUACAUCCCAGAUCCAGAGCUGCGGAACUCUGGGGCCACGUCUCCAGCGCCGCAUUCGGCGGCACACGGAGGCCUGAGAAGGCGGGAGGGGUCAGUCUCUGGCUUCGAGUAGCAGCAAUACCAGGACAACCAUAGCUGAGUCAUGUCAAGAUGAACCAUAUGGCAUUACCAUUUUUUCACAGGUCAGGGCAAAGAAUACUGGUGAAUUCAUGGGUUUC